Molecule: transfer RNA, 73 nt
Filed under: Stegodyphus mimosarum
Lineage: Eukaryota; Metazoa; Arthropoda; Arachnida; Araneae; Eresidae
Rfam family: tRNA
About the family: Transfer RNA (tRNA) molecules are approximately 80 nucleotides in length. Their secondary structure includes four short double-helical elements and three loops (D, anti-codon, and T loops). Further hydrogen bonds mediate the characteristic L-shaped molecular structure. tRNAs have two regions of fundamental functional importance: the anti-codon, which is responsible for specific mRNA codon recognition, and the 3' end, to which the tRNAs corresponding amino acid is attached (by aminoacyl-tRNA synthetases). tRNAs cope with the degeneracy of the genetic code in two manners: having more than one tRNA (with a specific anti-codon) for a particular amino acid; and 'wobble' base-pairing, i.e. permitting non-standard base-pairing at the 3rd anti-codon position.
Source: Rfam by way of RNAcentral
GCUAUCGUGGUGUAAUGGUCAGCCCACUUGACGCGUCUUCGAGAGGUUCGAGGUUCGAGUCCUGGCGAGGGCA